GACGAACGCUGGCGGCGUGCCUAAUACAUGCAAGUAGGACGCAGUUGCGAACGGGUGAGUAACGCGUAGGUAACUACCUAUUAGAGGGGGAUAAAUAUUGGAAACGAUAGCUAAUACCGCAUACUAGUAGAUGGACCUGCGUUGUAUUAGCUAGUAGGUAGGGUAAUGGGCUACCUAGGCAACGAUACAUAGCCGACCUUAGGAGGGGAACGGCCAAACUGGGACUGAGACACGGCCCAGACUCCUACGGGAGGCAGGAGUAGGGAAUCUUCGGCAAUGGGGGGAAACCUGACCGAGGAACGCCGCGGGAGUGAAGAAGGGUGUCGGAUCGUAAAGCUCUGUGGUGAAGGAAGCGGUACUUAACCAGAAAGGGACGGCUAACUACGUGCCAGCAGCCGCGGUAAUAC
This 407-nucleotide ribosomal RNA is filed under the name uncultured bacterium. RNAcentral describes it as "partial 16S ribosomal RNA". It matches the Rfam family "Bacterial small subunit ribosomal RNA", at positions 28 to 526 of the family's 1533-position model. The record is from RNAcentral.